RNAcentral lists this ribosomal RNA (497 nucleotides) under uncultured bacterium. Its description in RNAcentral is "partial 16S ribosomal RNA". It matches the Rfam family "Bacterial small subunit ribosomal RNA", at positions 28 to 507 of the family's 1533-position model. The record is from RNAcentral.
GACGAACGCUGGCGGCGUGCCUAAUACAUGCAAGUCGGGCGAACAGACGAGGAGCUUGCUCCUCUGACGUUUGCGGCGGACGGGUGAGUAACACGUGUAUAACCUACCUAUAAGACUGGUAUAACUUCGGGAAACCGGAUCUAAUACCGGAUAAUAUAUUGAACCGCAUGGUUCAAUAGUGAAAGACGGUUUUGCUGUCACUUAUAGAUGGAUCCGCGCCGCAUUAGCUAGUUGGUAAGGUAACGGCUUACCAAGGGAACGAUGCGUAGCCGACCUGAGAGGGUGAUCGGCGACACUGGAACGGAGACACGGUCCAGACUACUACGGGAGGCAGCAGUAGGGAAUGUUCCGCAAUGGGGGAAAGCCUGACGGAGCAACGCCGCGUGAGUGAUGAAGGUGUUCGGAUCGUAAAACUCUGUUAUUAGGGAAGAACAAAUGUGUAAGUAAAUAUGCACGUAUUGACGGUACCGAAUCAGAAAGCAACGGCUAACUACGUG